Molecule: ribosomal RNA, 844 nt
Filed under: uncultured bacterium
Lineage: Bacteria
Description: bacterial SSU rRNA
Rfam family: Bacterial small subunit ribosomal RNA
Source: RNAcentral
AGAGUUUGAUCAUGGCUCAGGAUGAACGCUGGCGGCGUGCCUAACACAUGCAAGUCGGGCGAUCUUCUUCGGAAGAGAGCGGCGGACGGGUGAGUAACGCGUGGGUAACCUGCCUCAUACACAUGGAUAACAUACCGAAAGGUAUGCUAAUACAAGAUGAUAUAAGAGAUUCGCAUGGAUUUCUUAUCAAAGCUCCGGCGGUAUGAGAUGGACCCGCGUCUGAUUAGCUAGUUGGUAAGGUAACGGCUUACCAAGGCGACGAUCAGUAGCCGACCUGAGAGGGUGAUCGGCCACAUUGGAACUGAGACACGGUCCAAACUCCUACGGGAGGCAGCAGUGGGGAAUAUUGCACAAUGGGCGAAAGCCUGAUGCAGCAACGCCGCGUGAGCGAUGAAGGCCUUCGGGUCGUAAAGCUCUGUCCUCAAGGAAGAUAAUGACGGUACUUGAGGAGGAAGCCCCGGCUAACUACGUGCCAGCAGCCGCGGUAAUACGUAGGGGGCUAGCGUUAUCCGGAUUUACUGGGCGUAAAGGGUGCGUAGGUGGUUUCUUAAGUCAGGAGUGAAAGGCUACGGCUCAACCGUAGUAAGCUCUUGAAACUGGGAAACUUGAGUGCAGGAGAGGAAAGUGGAAUUCCUAGCGUAGCGGUGAAAUGCGUAGAUAUUAGGAGGAACACCAGUAGCGAAGGCGGCUUUCUGGACUGUAACUGACACUGAGGCACGAAAGCGUGGGGAGCAAACAGGAUUAGAUACCCUGGUAGUCCACGCCGUAAACGAUGAGUACUAGGUGUCGGGGGUUACCCCCCUCGGUGCCGCAGCUAACGCAUUAAGUACUCCGCCUGGGGAGU